Molecule: unclassified non-coding RNA, 21 nt
Filed under: Human gammaherpesvirus 8
Lineage: Duplodnaviria; Heunggongvirae; Peploviricota; Herviviricetes; Herpesvirales; Orthoherpesviridae
Description: miR-K9
Source: RNAcentral
CUGGGUAUACCCAGCUGCGUA